CCUACGGGAGGCAGCAGUGGGGAAUAUUGGGCAAUGGGCGCAAGCCUGACCCAGCAACGCCGCGUGAAGGAAGAAGGCUCUCGGGUUGUAAACUUCUUUUAUCAGGGACGAAGCAAGUGACGGUACCUGAUGAAUAAGCCACGGCUAACUACGUGCCAGCAGCCGCGGUAAUACGUAGGUGGCAAGCGUUAUCCUGAUUUACUGGGUGUAAAGGGCGUGUAGGCGGGAAAGCAAGUCAGAUGUGAAAACCAUGGGCUCAACCUGUGGCCUGCAUUUGAAACUGUUUUUCUUGAGUACUGGAGAGGCAGACGGAAGUCCUAGUGUAGCGGUGAAAUGCGUAGAUAUUAGGAGGAACACCAGUGGCGAAGGCGGUCUGCUGGACAGCAACUGACGCUGAGGCGCGAAAGCAUGGGGAGCAAACAGGAUUAGAUACCCCAGUAGUC
RNAcentral lists this ribosomal RNA (443 nucleotides) under uncultured bacterium. Its description in RNAcentral is "partial 16S ribosomal RNA". It matches the Rfam family "Bacterial small subunit ribosomal RNA", at positions 338 to 795 of the family's 1533-position model. The record is from RNAcentral.